Molecule: ribosomal RNA, 327 nt
Filed under: uncultured eukaryote
Lineage: Eukaryota
Description: partial 18S ribosomal RNA
Rfam family: Eukaryotic small subunit ribosomal RNA
Source: RNAcentral
CCCUUAGAUGUUCUGGGCCGCACGCGCGCUACACUGACGAAUGCAACGAGCUUAUAACCUUGGCCGAAAGGUCUGGGUAAUCUCCAAAUUUCGUCGUGAUGGGGAUAGAUUAUUGCAAUUAUUAAUCUUCAACGAGGAAUGCCUAGUAAGCGCAAGUCAUCAGCUUGCGUUGAUUACGUCCCUGCCCUUUGUACACACCGCCCGUCGCUUCUACCGAUUGAAUGGUCCGGUGAAGCGCUCGGACCGCGGCCUCUUGACGGUUUUCCGUCGAUUGGCUGUGGGAAGUUCGUUAAACCUUAUCAUUUAGAGGAAGGAGAAGUCGUAACA